Vulpes vulpes (red fox) is the source of this 108-nucleotide small nuclear RNA. The record is from Ensembl. Lineage: Eukaryota; Metazoa; Chordata; Mammalia; Carnivora; Canidae.
GUGCUCACUUUGGCAGCACGUACACUAAACCUGGGACAAUACAGAGAAGAUUUGCAUCAUCCCUGUGGAGGAAUGACAGAGGUCAGAAAAGACUUCACUGAGAAAAAU